CCAAUACCAAAGUACAAGAGAAACAAAGAUUAGAGGGGCUGCGCUGCCAUUCAAUUACCUAUGGAAUUUAUAACAUGCAAUUAGUUUCUGUUUAGUUGAGUUCAAAUAAUGUUGAUUGCGCUGUUAUAAAGCUCUUUUUUAUAGUUAGGUUGAAAAUCUUAUCGAUAUAUUCUUUAUUUAGUUGGUCCAAUUUGUAACAGAUGAGAUUGUUUUGUUUGAUGUUUCAAUCCAAAUUUGAUCCUUUUUUUUUGUGUGAAA
Molecule: non-coding RNA, 258 nt
Organism: Malus domestica (apple)
Lineage: Eukaryota; Viridiplantae; Streptophyta; Magnoliopsida; Rosales; Rosaceae
Source: RefSeq, a predicted model, not a curated record